ACGAACGCUGGCGGCGUGCCUCGUACAUGCAAGUAGAACGCACAGUUUAUACCGUAGCUUGCUACACCAUAGACUGUGAGUUGCGAACGGGUGAGUAACGCGUAGGUAACCUGCCUGGUAGCGGGGGAUAACUAUUGGAAACGAUAGCUAAUACCGCAUAAUAUUGAUUAUUGCAUGAUAAUUGAUUGAAAGAUGCUAUUGCAUCACUACCAGAUGGACCUGCGUUGUAUUAGCUAGUAGGUGAGGUAACGGCUCACCUAGGCGACGAUACAUAGCCGACCUGAGAGGGUGAUCGGCCACACUGGGACUGAGACACGGCCCAGACUCCUACGGGAGGCAGCAGUAGGGAAUCUUCGGCAAUGGACGAAAGUCUGACCGAGCAACGCCGCGUGAGUGAAGAAGGUUUUCGGAUCGUAAAGCUCUGUUGUAAGAGAAGAACGGGUGUGAGAGUGGAAAGUUCACACUGUGACGGUAUCUUACCAGAAAGGGACGGCUAACUACGUG
RNAcentral lists this ribosomal RNA (504 nucleotides) under uncultured bacterium. Its description in RNAcentral is "partial 16S ribosomal RNA". It matches the Rfam family "Bacterial small subunit ribosomal RNA", at positions 29 to 507 of the family's 1533-position model. The record is from RNAcentral.